GUCUAUCGCCAUACCACCUUGAACGCUCCCAAUCUCAUCUGAUCUCAGAAGCUAAGCAGGGUCGGGCCUGAUUAGUACUUGGAUGGGAGUAAUCUUGUCCUGGGGCCU
Gorilla gorilla gorilla (western lowland gorilla) is the source of this 108-nucleotide ribosomal RNA. Lineage: Eukaryota; Metazoa; Chordata; Mammalia; Primates; Hominidae. The record is from Rfam.